Long non-coding RNA from Zingiber officinale, 1361 nucleotides. RefSeq lists it as uncharacterized. The transcript has 2 exons. Lineage: Eukaryota; Viridiplantae; Streptophyta; Magnoliopsida; Zingiberales; Zingiberaceae. The record is from RefSeq and is a predicted model, not a curated record.
UCCUCUAGAAUACCUCCCGAACCCUUCUCCCAACUCAUCAUCUCACACCUUCUACAUCCAACUCCUCCUCUCACGCCUCUCCUUCCAACUUCUCUCCGACAAACCCCUCUCCGAAGUGAACUGGGAGGAAGAGGACGACAAUGAGUGCAUUUCCACAGCUUGUUGACUUCAUUUGGAGAGGGUUUCUUCAAGUGAAGAGUCGUUCACCAUUGUCGUGUCGAAGUGUGCAGUCACCAGCAGAGUUUUGUUUGAAUGCUUGUAUUGAACUUAAUUCCCUAUGUUUGAAUUGCACUCAUCUUGCUUUAUUUGUUUCAUGCAUAGUAGGUGUUCGGUGAAAUGUCUCUUUAUUUUAAUUCCAUGUAAUGCUUGUUAGUUUAGUGAUUUAUGUUCCUAUGAUGUUUGUUCUUUAUUUGAAUGCAAUUAGUUUAGGUUUUGUUACAUGCUCUAGUUUUUGUUUCACUAGAUGUUUACUUGAUGUGUUUUUACUUUCCAUGCUCUAGGUUAGAUUGGAUCAAAAAUCCAGACUACGAACAAGUGAGUUUCCUACUUUCCCUUGCAAAUUGUUGACAUGCAUAUAUAGUUUGUCAUUGGAUGAUUAUCAUUGCAUCAUUGUAGGAGUUAGUUUUGGGUGACAAAACUUUGACUGAGUCUGUAUCUCAACAUUGUGAAUCUAUAAACAACUACAUAGAAUAUAUACUAAUUAUCCUAGUUAGACCUUGCCAUGUGGACUACAGAAACAAUUUUACAUGUCAUCUGCAAGGUAUUUACUUUUCCUAUGUUUGCCUUUAUGUUUAUUUGAUAGUUUUAUUCCAGUUGACUCUGUUCUGAUGCAUCAGUUUCCUAACUUUUUUGAAAUAAGGUUUUGACUUCUUGGAUGAUAGAAGUUGAGAUUGUGAAAAUUUCACAUGUCGUUUGCUUAUUCUUGUUGUCUUUCAUUAAAUAUUGAGAUUUUGAAAAUUUUACAUGCAGUGUCUUUUCAGAUAUUUUGAAUGAUGAAUGGAGGUAUUCAGAAACUCCAGCUAAAUAGCUCGAAUAUGGAUGAUUAUAGGAGCAACAACUACAUGCUAUGUGGCACUGCAUCCAAACCUCAAGGGUGUGACUGGAAAGUACUUUGACGAAGAACUAUUAAGAAGACUUUGAGAUUUAAAUGAGAAGAUGGUUAAAGCCAAUUAGUAAAGAACAUUCAAGUUAAGAGGAUAAGUAUCAUCUAUCAAGAUUCUUUAAGUUCAUGCAAUAAGAUGUAGUCGAUAGGAGUAAUUUUGAAUGUCUCGUAAUUAAAAUUUCUUUGUAUGCAAGUAAUUAUGUUUGUUAUAGAAGUGUAAGGAUGAUAAUUUCUAUAUUGAUCUUAGUUGUUUAUUUAA